CGCUGAUACUGUUAAUGCUUUUGUACUAGGAGGCAUACAUGGAAAACCAGUGCUCUAGAUCAUAGCCCUGGAGGGAGUGGAAGGCAAGACCCAAAGUUGAAGAACAAGGCAGGAGCUGAAUGUCCUCACAAAUGCUAGGUAACGGUAGUCACAUCUGUUCAAGACUCAAGCUUGCUGAGAUCUUGAAGUGAAUAUACAUGAUCAAGGACUGGAUGUAAUCAUGCACAUUUAACAGCUAAAAUAAAAGAGAUUAAAGGGAGAAAACUGCCACCAAGCAUACAAUGUUACAUGGACAAUGACAAGAAAAGCAUCUUUGUGAACAGACUGGAGAUCACACGGGAACCCCAACUGUGCUGCUAUGCUGAUGGUGAUCCUUACCCUCUUCAUCCAUAAAGUCAUUUGCUAUAUCACAUCUUGGCACAGAGACGCUCCUUUAUUGCAAUCAUCUCUUCAGUCUGAUGUGAAGAGAAAGCAACCAGAAAUCUGCUUCUAUUACUCUGGGUCUCUCAACAAGAUGUCCACAAAUUUAUGACCUUGGCCUUCUGAUCCUCUUGACACUACAUCCCAGUGCUGAGAUUACAAACCAGUAUAAUGACCGACAUUCAGUUCAUACAGCGCUGGGAAUCAAACCAGGGCCUCUUAAAUGCUAUGCAACUACUCAACCCACAGAGUUUUACUCCCAGUCUCUGCCUGUAUUCAUUUAAGUAAAAAAAAAAAACAAAGUCUCUAUACAAAUUCAUUCAAAUGUGCUUUAAGUAAAACCAUUGCCUCUUUGUUCUCUCUAGUAGAAUCAACAUAAAGUACAAACAUAGAUUUUCAAUAUUGUGGAAUUUUUCAGUUACUGAUUUCCACAAAGCCACAUGAUUUCCAAAGAUAAUCCAAUCACAAGCCAGCUGGUUCCCCUAUGAAGCCACAUGCAUGCUGUGUAGAAUAAAUACAAGAUGAUACCUGCUAAGGGGUACCCAUGCCAAAUCCUCAGUUCAUAUUAUUUGUUUAUUUCAUAUUAUUAAACCUUUCUAACAAGGCUUAGAAAGGUUCAGUGACCUGGCCAGAGUCACC
This is a long non-coding RNA of Mastomys coucha (southern multimammate mouse), 1059 nucleotides long. RefSeq lists it as uncharacterized. The transcript has 4 exons. The record is from RefSeq and is a predicted model, not a curated record. Lineage: Eukaryota; Metazoa; Chordata; Mammalia; Rodentia; Muridae.